Molecule: ribosomal RNA, 497 nt
Filed under: uncultured bacterium
Lineage: Bacteria
Description: partial 16S ribosomal RNA
Rfam family: Bacterial small subunit ribosomal RNA
Source: RNAcentral
GAUGAACGCUGGCGGCGUGCCUAAUACAUGCAAGUCGAGCGAACAGACGAGGAGCUUGCUCCUCUGACGUUAGCGGCGGACGGGUGAGUAACACGUGGAUAACCUACCUAUAAGACUGGGAUAACUUCGGGAAACCGGAGCUAAUACCGGAUAAUAUAUUGAACCGCAUGGUUCAAUAGUGAAAGACGGUUUUGCUGUCACUUAUAGAUGGAUCCGCGCCGCAUUAGCUAGUUGGUAAGGUAACGGCUUACCAAGGCAACGAUGCGUAGCCGACCUGAGAGGGUGGUCCGCCACACUGGAACUGAGACACAGUCCAGACUCCUACGGGAGGCAGCAGUAGGGAAUCUUACGCGAUGGGCGAAAGCUUGACGGAGCAACGCCGCGUGAGUGAUGAAGGUCUUCGGAUCGUAAAACUCUGUUAUUAGGGAAGAACAAAUGUGUAAGUAACUAUGCACGUCUUGGCGGUACCUAAUCAGAAAGCCACGGCUAACUACGUG